Molecule: ribosomal RNA, 429 nt
Filed under: Actinomycetes bacterium
Lineage: Bacteria; Bacillati; Actinomycetota; Actinomycetes
Description: Actinobacteria bacterium partial 16S ribosomal RNA
Rfam family: Bacterial small subunit ribosomal RNA
Source: RNAcentral
UAGGGAAUCUUCCGCAAUGGGCGAAAGCCUGACGGAGCAACGCCGCGUGAGUGAUGAAGGUCUUCGGAUCGUAAAACUCUGUUAUUAGGGAAGAACAAAUGUGUAAGUAACUAUGCACGUCUUGACGGUACCUAAUCAGAAAGCCACGGCUAACUACGUGCCAGCAGCCGCGGUAAUACGUAGGUGGCAAGCGUUAUCCGGAAUUAUUGGGCGUAAAGCGCGUGUAGGCGGUUUUUUAAGUCUGAUGUGAAAGCCCACGGCUCAACCGUGGGGGGUCAGUGUAAACUGGAAAACUAGAGUGAAGAAGAGGAAAGUGGAAUUCCAAGUGUAGCGGUGAAAUGCGCAGAGAUAUGGAGGAACAACAGUGGCGAAGGCGACUUUCUGGUCUGUAACUGACGCUAAUGUGCGAAAGAGUGGGGAUCAAACAGG